RNAcentral lists this long non-coding RNA (751 nucleotides) under Cicer arietinum (chickpea). RNAcentral describes it as "long non-coding RNA (CARI_LNC002127)". The record is from RNAcentral. Lineage: Eukaryota; Viridiplantae; Streptophyta; Magnoliopsida; Fabales; Fabaceae.
GGUGCAUUUAUUUAGAUAGUUGACUAUUGACUAUCCUUAACAAAAGAUUGAUCAAAUCAAUGUCACAUUUGCAUUCUCAAGGCAACAAGCCUUCCUAUCUACUAAAGCAUAAUAUAUAAAAUAAUAACAAUUUUAAUGAAACCUACAACAUUCAACUCUACAUAAAAGGGGCAAGCAUAGAAGGAUUAAAUGGGAUUUUCCUUGACCAGCAAAAUAAAACAAAAUUUAUAGUCUAUAUUUGAGCACAAAUCACUUUUGGCACCAUAACAAUGCCCCAAUUUUGACUAUCUAAGAAAUGCAGAAGUUACUCUAGCGAUAACACGCCGAUCUUCGCCAAGAGCUCACAUCGAUGAGAAAGUUUGACAACUCAAUGUCGGCUUUUUACCACCUGGAGCUGUAGUAUGUUUCUUCUCCCCACUAUGAAUGUCAAUAUCCUUCAUUCCUUUCUAAAGUGCUAUUUUUUUCUCCUUUUUCGAACUUGGUCUCUAAUCCACAAUUUUGGCUACAAAAGUACAAUGAGUUUGUGAGAAUAGCUGGUAUAUAGUGUUAUAUUGCAGUGGCAGUUGAUUAUGACCUGCAAACCAAAGACAAAACUCAUGACAUGACUAGGUAGAGAGAGAGAGAGAGAAUAACAUAUUUCUCCAAUCGUCACAUUAUAAGUGUCAUUUUAGUUCAUGCGCACUUCGUAAGAAAAUAAUUAGUUGUGUUGAUUUUUAGAUUAAAAUAAUGGUGAAGACUAAAAUACACAUUA